CAGUGCCUGGUGGGUAGUUUGACUGGGGCGGUCUCCUCCCAAAGAGUAACGGAGGAGCACGAAGGUGGGCUAAUCACGGUUGGACAUCGUGAGGUUAGUGCAAUGGCAUAAGCCCGCUUGACUGCGAGAAUGACAAUUCGAGCAGGUGCGAAAGCAGGUCAUAGUGAUCCGGUGGUUCUGAAUGGAAGGGCCAUCGCUCAACGGAUAAAAGGUACUCCGGGGAUAAC
RNAcentral lists this ribosomal RNA (227 nucleotides) under Vibrio parahaemolyticus. Its description in RNAcentral is "partial 23S ribosomal RNA". It matches the Rfam family "Bacterial large subunit ribosomal RNA", at positions 2252 to 2478 of the family's 2925-position model. The record is from RNAcentral. Lineage: Bacteria; Pseudomonadati; Pseudomonadota; Gammaproteobacteria; Vibrionales; Vibrionaceae.